RNAcentral lists this ribosomal RNA (775 nucleotides) under uncultured Neocallimastigales. RNAcentral's name for it is "partial large subunit ribosomal RNA". It matches the Rfam family "Eukaryotic large subunit ribosomal RNA", at positions 24 to 644 of the family's 3401-position model. The record is from RNAcentral. Lineage: Eukaryota; Fungi; Neocallimastigomycota; Neocallimastigomycetes; Neocallimastigales.
UUAUCUCUGUAGAGUCUGCAUAUCAAUAAGCGGAGGAAAAGAAACUAACUAGGAUUCCCUUAGUAACGGCGAGUGAAGCGGGAAGAGCUCAAAUUUGAAAUCUUCAAGGUUUUACCUUGACGAAUUGUAGUUUAAAGAAGUGUUUUCUGUUGGUGUUUUGGUAAAAGUUCUUUGGAAUAGGACAUCAUAGAGGGUGAGAAUCCCGUAUUUGACCAUUACUUCCAGCGUUGUGAUACACUUUCAAAGAGUCGGAUUGUUUGGGAAUGCAGUCCAAAAUGGGUGGUAAAUUUCAUCUAAAGCUAAAUAUUGGCGAGAGACCGAUAGCGAACAAGUACCGUGAGGGAAAGAUGAAAAGAACUUUGAAAAGAGAGUUAAACAGUACGUGAAAUCGUCAAAAGGGAAGCGUUUGACACCAGUGUUGUUUUCUCGAAAAUCAAUUAAAAAGUGUUGGAUUUUGUAUUGUUAAGACCUUAUCAGCUUACUGUACUCUUUUCCUGCUCUUUUUAAUGCACUUUUCGUUUAACAAGUCAACAUCAAUUUCUUUUGUUGUAAAAGAGUCAUUGGAAGGUGGCUUUCACUUCGGUGAAAGUGUUUAUAGCCUUUGGCUUCUGCAAUCGGAGAGAUUGAGGUCUGCAGCGUAGAUCCUUCGGGGCUAGAUACGUAGAUGCUAAGUUAUAGUUUUUUAUAGACAACUUGUUGACUAUGAUUAAUCAUGUAGCUUACUCGUUUGCGCUAUUUUACCUACGCUUAGGAUGUUGAAUCUGUGCGAGACUAC